Molecule: long non-coding RNA, 402 nt
Filed under: Capsella grandiflora
Lineage: Eukaryota; Viridiplantae; Streptophyta; Magnoliopsida; Brassicales; Brassicaceae
Description: long non-coding RNA (CGRA_LNC000763)
Source: RNAcentral
AAAAUAAAAAUAAUCCAUGUAAUUUAGGUAUGCAGUCCAUAUACAAAGACUCGUGUUUAAAGAUUGCCUUCAAGCGUACGGACUAUAAAGUUCAAAUUUUUAAAGGACUUCAUAUAGAUUGCAAGCAACCAUUAUACAAAUAAAAGAAAACAUAUGAAACCAAGUGAAGGUUUCAUUACAAAUUAUAAAAAUCAGUACCAAGAAAUUAAAAAUUAUAGGAUACAAGUAGCAACAAGAACAAAAGAAAGUAUUACAUCAACUGAAACUCAGUAGCUUAUUUAAGAAUCCACAUUUUCUAUUUCAAGAAAUAGGAAGGUGGGGAUGAAGCUUAGUACUCAACUUUUGGAGAAGGUGAGUAUGAUGGUGGGGGUGGGGAACUGUAAACAUAUGGUGGUGGAGGAG